Molecule: transfer RNA, 75 nt
Filed under: Vibrio phage 12E28.1
Lineage: Duplodnaviria; Heunggongvirae; Uroviricota; Caudoviricetes
Also listed under: 185 other names
Description: tRNA-Gly
Rfam family: tRNA
About the family: Transfer RNA (tRNA) molecules are approximately 80 nucleotides in length. Their secondary structure includes four short double-helical elements and three loops (D, anti-codon, and T loops).
Source: RNAcentral
GCAACAUUAAUUCAGUGGUAGAGCUGGAGGUUUCCAACCUUUAUGUCGUCGGUUCGAUUCCGACAUGUUGCUCCA